CAUAUUUGGUAAUUAAUAUACUUUUGCCAAUUUGCAGUGACACUGAGAAGCAAAGGUGCAGCAUUUAGAGGCUUUAUGCUGGAGGCUCGGAAUAGCUGGGGGAGCAUUGUUGGUAAAUUUCUCAUCCUAGAACCAACACAAACCCGGCUUUUAAAUUGUAAUGGUUCAACGGUAAGUGCAUUGGUUAAAGUGUUUGUGUUUAAUUAAUUUGGAGAAAGUACUUCCCUAUGUGACCUUGUUACAGGGCUCAGCAGUCAGUCAUAGAAAUAAUAACCGGAAAAAUGAGAUUAGAGUCAAUUGGACGUCUGAAACUGAAGAUCUUGACGGCAUUGUCUUACGGGCCACAUUUGUCCAGACAUUUAAAAUAUUUUGGAAUCCAGUCAAUUUCUCCAUAACUUUACUCAAACCAAGUACCACAACAGCUACGACAAUGAUCUCCACAAGUAUGUAUAUAUUAUCAAAUUCUGUCAUAACCUAUAAACAAUAAUAUGCUAGAUAUCUAAUUGUAUUUAUGUUUCCAAACCCACAAUUACAGCUUCUGUCAGCAACAUCACAAACAAAAAAGACAUCAUGCAUAUUGACAAGGUAAGGACAGAAAUCAAGUCAAAUGCAUUUAGUAUUUUAUAGUAUUUUCCAUUAUCUGAAACAUGGGAGGUCAUUUGGGUUGUGGCAACACCCAGGUAGUCAUAGACUGCAAUGAGAGACAAUUCCAUAUUAGAAUAUAAUAAGUAUUUUGAGGA
This 740-nucleotide long non-coding RNA is filed under the name Neogobius melanostomus (round goby). RNAcentral describes it as "lncRNA (ENSNMLG00000010394.1)". Lineage: Eukaryota; Metazoa; Chordata; Actinopteri; Gobiiformes; Gobiidae. The record is from RNAcentral.